UUAAGCGACUAAGCGUACACGGUGGAUGCCCUGGCAGUCAGAGGCGAUGAAGGACGUGCUAAUCUGCGAUAAGCGUCGGUGAGGUGAUAUGAACCGUUAUAACCGGCGAUUUCCGAAUGGGGAAACCCAGUGUGUUUCGACACACUAUCAUUAACUGAAUCCAUAGGUUAAUGAGGCGAACCGGGGGAACUGAAACAUCUAAGUACCCCGAGGAAAAGAAAUCAACCGAGAUUCCCCCAGUAGCGGCGAGCGAACGGGGAGGAGCCCAGAGCCUGAAUCAGUGUGUGUGUUAGUGGAAGCGUCUGGAAAGGCGCGCGAUACAGGGUGACAGCCCCGUACACAAAAAUGCACAUACUGUGAGCUCGAUGAGUAGGGCGGGACACGUGGUAUCCUGUCUGAAUAUGGGGGGACCAUCCUCCAAGGCUAAAUACUCCUGACUGACCGAUAGUGAACCAGUACCGUGAGGGAAAGGCGAAAAGAACCCCGGCGAGGGGAGUGAAAAAGAACCUGAAACCGUGUACGUACAAGCAGUGGGAGCCUCUUAAUGGGGUGACUGCGUACCUUUUGUAUAAUGGGUCAGCGACUUAUAUUCUGUAGCAAGGUUAACCGAAUAGGGGAGCCGAAGGGAAACCGAGUCUUAACUGGGCGCUAAGUUGCAGGGUAUAGACCCGAAACCCGGUGAUCUAGCCAUGGGCAGGUUGAAGGUUGGGUAACACUAACUGGAGGACCGAACCGACUAAUGUUGAAAAAUUAGCGGAUGACUUGUGGCUGGGGGUGAAAGGCCAAUCAAACCGGGAGAUAGCUGGUUCUCCCCGAAAGCUAUUUAGGUAGCGCCUCGUGAAUUCAUCUCCGGGGGUAGAGCACUGUUUCGGCAAGGGGGUCAUCCCGACUUACCAACCCGAUGCAAACUGCGAAUACCGGAGAAUGUUAUCACGGGAGACACACGGCGGGUGCUAACGUCCGUCGUGAAGAGGGAAACAACCCAGACCGCCAGCUAAGGUCCCAAAGUCAUGGUUAAGUGGGAAACGAUGUGGGAAGGCCCAGACAGCCAGGAUGUUGGCUUAGAAGCAGCCAUCAUUUAAAGAAAGCGUAAUAGCUCACUGGUCGAGUCGGCCUGCGCGGAAGAUGUAACGGGGCUAAACCAUGCACCGAAGCUGCGGCAGCGACACUAUGUGUUGUUGGGUAGGGGAGCGUUCUGUAAGCCUGUGAAGGUGGCCUGUGAGGGUUGCUGGAGGUAUCAGAAGUGCGAAUGCUGACAUAAGUAACGAUAAAGCGGGUGAAAAGCCCGCUCGCCGGAAGACCAAGGGUUCCUGUCCAACGUUAAUCGGGGCAGGGUGAGUCGACCCCUAAGGCGAGGCCGAAAGGCGUAGUCGAUGGGAAACAGGUUAAUAUUCCUGUACUUGGUGUUACUGCGAAGGGGGGACGGAGAAGGCUAUGUUGGCCGGGCGACGGUUGUCCCGGUUUAAGCGUGUAGGCUGGUUUUCCAGGCAAAUCCGGAAAACCAAGGCUGAGGCGUGAUGACGAGGCACUACGGUGCUGAAGCGACAAAUGCCCUGCUUCCAGGAAAAGCCUCUAAGCAUCAGGUAACAUCAAAUCGUACCCCAAACCGACACAGGUGGUCAGGUAGAGAAUACCAAGGCGCUUGAGAGAACUCGGGUGAAGGAACUAGGCAAAAUGGUGCCGUAACUUCGGGAGAAGGCACGCUGAUAUGUAGGUGAAGCGACUUGCUCGUGGAGCUGAAAUCAGUCGAAGAUACCAGCUGGCUGCAACUGUUUAUUAAAAACACAGCACUGUGCAAACACGAAAGUGGACGUAUACGGUGUGACGCCUGCCCGGUGCCGGAAGGUUAAUUGAUGGGGUUAGCGGUAACGCGAAGCUCUUGAUCGAAGCCCCGGUAAACGGCGGCCGUAACUAUAACGGUCCUAAGGUAGCGAAAUUCCUUGUCGGGUAAGUUCCGACCUGCACGAAUGGCGUAAUGAUGGCCAGGCUGUCUCCACCCGAGACUCAGUGAAAUUGAACUCGCUGUGAAGAUGCAGUGUACCCGCGGCAAGACGGAAAGACCCCGUGAACCUUUACUAUAGCUUGACACUGAACAUUGAGCCUUGAUGUGUAGGAUAGGUGGGAGGCUUUGAAGUGUGGACGCCAGUCUGCAUGGAGCCGACCUUGAAAUACCACCCUUUAAUGUUUGAUGUUCUAACGUUGGCCCGUAAUCCGGGUUGCGGACAGUGUCUGGUGGGUAGUUUGACUGGGGCGGUCUCCUCCUAAAGAGUAACGGAGGAGCACGAAGGUUGGCUAAUCCUGGUCGGACAUCAGGAGGUUAGUGCAAUGGCAUAAGCCAGCUUGACUGCGAGCGUGACGGCGCGAGCAGGUGCGAAAGCAGGUCAUAGUGAUCCGGUGGUUCUGAAUGGAAGGGCCAUCGCUCAACGGAUAAAAGGUACUCCGGGGAUAACAGGCUGAUACCGCCCAAGAGUUCAUAUCGACGGCGGUGUUUGGCACCUCGAUGUCGGCUCAUCACAUCCUGGGGCUGAAGUAGGUCCCAAGGGUAUGGCUGUUCGCCAUUUAAAGUGGUACGCGAGCUGGGUUUAGAACGUCGUGAGACAGUUCGGUCCCUAUCUGCCGUGGGCGCUGGAGAACUGAGGGGGGCUGCUCCUAGUACGAGAGGACCGGAGUGGACGCAUCACUGGUGUUCGGGUUGUCAUGCCAAUGGCACUGCCCGGUAGCUAAAUGCGGAAGAGAUAAGUGCUGAAAGCAUCUAAGCACGAAACUUGCCCCGAGAUGAGUUCUCCCUGAGACUUAGAGUCUCCUGAAGGAACGUUGAAGACGACGACGUUGAUAGGCCGGGUGUGUAAGCGCAGCGAUGCGUUGAGCUAACCGGUACUAAUGAACCGUGAGGCUUAACCUU
RNAcentral lists this ribosomal RNA (2902 nucleotides) under Escherichia coli. RNAcentral describes it as "bacterial LSU rRNA". It matches the Rfam family "Bacterial large subunit ribosomal RNA". The record is from RNAcentral. Lineage: Bacteria; Pseudomonadati; Pseudomonadota; Gammaproteobacteria; Enterobacterales; Enterobacteriaceae. RNAcentral also lists the same sequence under 1 other name.